This 201-nucleotide unclassified non-coding RNA is filed under the name Hevea brasiliensis (rubber tree). The record is from RNAcentral. Lineage: Eukaryota; Viridiplantae; Streptophyta; Magnoliopsida; Malpighiales; Euphorbiaceae.
UUUUUUUUUUUUUUUUGUUCUUUUGGUUACGCCAAACCCACUUUUUUUAAUAAAAUAAAGAAGACCAUUAGGGCUAAAUUAUCAAAUUAUUUCAUGAAAUCUAAUCUGAGCUGCAUCCACCAAGUUGAGAUAGUUUUGGGCAUGCAUAUUUGAAUCUGAAAGCAAUGGAAUGGUUACCUUGGAUGAAGGCUAUUUUUGACU